AUGCGAGGUAUAGCCUUGGCACUAGGUGCGCCGUCGGAUGCUUUCCAAGGCGGAACGGCGGGAGAUCCCUUCUGGUAUCUCAGGCUGAUUGGGUAUCCAGCCCCAGCUAGUAUUCCACAGGAGCAACGCACUGAUACUGGAUGUGGAGCUCACACGGAUUACGGCCUUUUGACACUGGUUAACCAAGAUGAUGACAUUUGUGCUCUUGAGGUCAGAAACCUGUCUGGCGAGUGGAUACAGGCGAAGCCAGUCCCUGGGACCUUUGUGUGCAACAUUGGUGACAUGCUAGAGGUUUGGUCUAAUGGAAUAUAUCAGCCCACACUCCAUAGAGUUUUCAACGACUCCCUUCAUUACCGUGUAUCUGUUGCCUUCUUUUACGAGUCAAACUUCGAUGCCGUGGUUGAGCCGCGGAGCUAUGCCGGCAGAAAACGGGUGGCGUUGCCAAGUACGACAAGGUGGUGUACGGGGAGCAUCUGGUCAAGAAAGUUCUGA
This 492-nucleotide ribosomal RNA is filed under the name Triticum aestivum (bread wheat). Its description in RNAcentral is "partial small subunit ribosomal RNA". Lineage: Eukaryota; Viridiplantae; Streptophyta; Magnoliopsida; Poales; Poaceae. The record is from RNAcentral.